Molecule: long non-coding RNA, 599 nt
Organism: Panicum virgatum (switchgrass)
Lineage: Eukaryota; Viridiplantae; Streptophyta; Magnoliopsida; Poales; Poaceae
Exons: 2
Source: RefSeq, a predicted model, not a curated record
CGCGCGCGUCAGCCGGCUGCGGCGAGCGGCAGCGAAGCCGAUCGGGUUCAACGCGUGCGUGCGUCAGGUCUUAGCUUUAGUUGCAGGCUUGUAGCCUUGCCCUAGCGACCAACCAACCAUCAACUACCUUGUUAAAUUCGCAUCGAGCCGUGCCUGCCACCAUUGCACAAGCUUUUACCCUUCUCUCCAGACCCAAGUCGUGUCUUGCGCCGCGACGCCAUUGACAAGACCAAGCUUUUUCCACGGCUCGUCUCGCGCAGAUGGAGAGGGCGAGCUGCCGGAACAACCGGUGCUGUGACUGUGAGGACUAGAGAAUAGAGAUGCAAGGGAACACUGCUUGUUCACAUGCAUCUGAAAGAAACACAGCACGAGAUUGCCGGCCCUUUGGAAGAACAUGUCAGCACCGGUUGGUGUUCGGCACAACAGGGAGCAUCAGGUUGUCAGGAGAUGUGAAUGGGCCCAACGACCAACGUGCUGUGUCAAGGCCCAGGAGGAAGAACACAAGAGCUCUUUGGGUCGGAAUGGGUUUACACUUUACAGGCAAGAGUGGCGUGUAUGUAUCGAGAGAGGGAGAGCAAUAACUUGUGACGUCAUCUGAA